GAUCCUGGCUCAGAACGAACGUUGGCGGUGUGGAUUAGGCAUGCAAGUCGCGCGCGAAACUUCGGACAAGUAAAGCGGCGGACGGGCGAGUAACGCGUAAUCAACCUACCUCUGAGAGGAAUAGCCACUGGAAACGGUGGGUAAUGCCAGAUGGUCCCCCGGGCCGGCAUCGGCCUGGGUAAACGGUGGCUUCGGCUGCUGCUCAGUGAGGGGAUUGCGUCCUAUCAGCUUGUGUGAGGUAACGGCUCACCAAGGCUAUGACGGGUAGCUGGUCUGAGAGGACGACCAGCCACUGGGACUGAGACACUGCCCAGACUCCUACGGGAGGCUGCAGUCGAGAAUCUUCCGCUGGGCGAAAGCCUGACGGAGCGACACCGCGUGCAGGACGAAGGCCCUCGGGUUGUAAAGCUGUCACGCACUAGGAACCCCAUGUCGUUAAUAGCGGCACGGUUGACUAACGCGAGAAAGUGGCGGCUAACUCUGUGCCAGCAGCCGCGGUAAGACAGAGGCCACGAACGUUGUUGAAUUACUGGGCAUAAAGCGCACGUAGGCGGCCAAGUCCGUCCGAUGUGAAAGCCCCCCUCAACCGGGGAACUGCAUAGGAUACAGCUUGGCUUGAGGAUGGUUGGGGUGAGUGGAUCCUGGUGGAGCGGUGAAAUGCGUAGAUAUCAGGAGGAACACCGGUGGCGAAAGCGGCACUGGACCAUUUCUGACGCUGAGGUGCGAAAGCUAGGGGAGCAAACGGGAUUAGAUACCGGUAGUCCUAGCCGUAAACGAUGGGCACUGGGUAGGGGGGAAGCCUAUGCUCUUCUCCCGAAGCAAAUGUAUUAAGUGCCCCGCCUGGGGAGUACGCUCGCAAGGGUAAAACUCAGGAAUUGACGGGGGCUCACACAAGCGGUGGAGCAUGUGGUUUAAUUCGAAGCAACGCGGAACCUUACCUGGGCUUGACAUCUAUGGAUUAACCUCCCGAAAGGGAGGCAACUGCUCCGGAGCCGGAACAUAGACAGGUGUUGCAUGGCUGUCGUCAGCUCGUGUCGUAGAUGUUGUUAAGUCCCGUAACGAGCGCAACCCUUGUCGCUAGUUGCCAGCGAGUAAUGUCGGGGUCUAGCGAGACCGCCGGUGUCAAACCGGAGGAAGGUGGGGACGACGUCAAGUCAUCAUCCCUUAUGCCCAGGGCGACACACGUGCUACAAUGGCGCGUACAAAGGGUUCCGAUACCGAGGUGGAGGCAAUCCCAUAAAGCGCGCCCCAGUUCGGAUUGAAGGCUGCAAUUCGCCCAUGAAGCCGGAAUCGCUAGUAAUCGCGUAUCAGCCAUGACGCGGUGAAUAUGUUCCUGCCUUGUACACACUGCCCGUCAAGCCACGAAAGCGGGGAGCGCUCGAAGUCGCUAUGUAACCGUAAGGAGGACGGCGCCGAAAGCGAGACUCGUGAUGGGACUAAGUC
This 1443-nucleotide ribosomal RNA is filed under the name uncultured bacterium. Its description in RNAcentral is "bacterial SSU rRNA". It matches the Rfam family "Bacterial small subunit ribosomal RNA". The record is from RNAcentral.